Molecule: ribosomal RNA, 253 nt
Filed under: uncultured bacterium
Lineage: Bacteria
Description: partial 16S ribosomal RNA
Rfam family: Bacterial small subunit ribosomal RNA
Source: RNAcentral
UACGGGGGGGGCAAGCGUUGUUCGGAAUUACUGGGCGUAAAGGGCUCGUAGGCGGCCAACUAAGUCGGAUGUGAAAUCCCCAGGCUCAACUUGGGAACUGCAUUCGAUACUGCCGUGCUUGAGGACUGGAGAGGAGACUGGAAUUUACGGUGUAGCGGUGAAAUGCGUAGAUAUCGUAAGGAAGACCAGUGGCGAAGGCGGGUCUCUGGACAGUUCCUGACGCUGAGGCACGAAGGUCAGGGGAGCAAACGGG